RNAcentral lists this ribosomal RNA (792 nucleotides) under uncultured bacterium. RNAcentral describes it as "bacterial SSU rRNA". It matches the Rfam family "Bacterial small subunit ribosomal RNA", at positions 104 to 914 of the family's 1533-position model. The record is from RNAcentral.
GGGUGAGUAACGCGUAGGCAACCUGCCCCAUACAGAGGGAUAGCCUCGGGAAACCGGGAUUAAAACCUCAUAAUGCGAGAGGUUCACAUGGAUCUUUCGCCAAAGAUUUAUCGGUAUGGGAUGGGCCUGCGUCUGAUUAGCUAGUUGGUGGGGUAACGGCCUACCAAGGCGGCGAUCAGUAGCCGACCUGAGAGGGUAAUCGGCCACAUUGGAACUGAGACACGGUCCAAACUCCUACGGGAGGCAGCAGUGGGGAAUAUUGCACAAUGGGCGAAAGCCUGAUGCAGCAACGCCGCGUGAGCGAUGAAGGCCUUUGGGUCGUAAAGCUCUGUCCUUGGGGAAGAAACAAAUGACGGUACCCUUGGAGGAAGCCCCGGCUAACUACGUGCCAGCAGCCGCGGUAAUACGUAGGGGGCAAGCGUUAUCCGGAAUUAUUGGGCGUAAAGAGUGCGUAGGUGGUUUUGUAAGCGCGGGGUGAAAGGCAAUAGCUUAACUAUUGUAAGCCUUGCGAACUGUAAGACUUGAGUGCAGGAGAGGAAAGCGGAAUUCCUAGUGUAGCGGUGAAAUGCGUAGAUAUUAGGAGGAACACCAGUGGCGAAGGCGGCUUUCUGGACUGUAACUGACACUGAGGCACGAAAGCGUGGGGAGCAAACAGGAUUAGAUACCCUGGUAGUCCACGCCGUAACGAUGAGCACUAGGUGUCGGGGCCGCAAGGUUUCGGUGCCGCAGUUAACGCAUUAAGUGCUCCGCCUGGGGAGUACGCACGCAAGGUUGAAACUCAAAGGAAUUGAC